ACGGAAGGCAGCAGUGGGGAAUAUUGCACAAUGGGGGAAACCCUGAUGCAGCGACGCCGCGUGAAGGAAGAAGUAUCUCGGUAUGUAAACUUCUAUCAGCAGGGAAGAUAAUGACGGUACCUGACUAAGAAGCCCCGGCUAACUACGUGCCAGCAGCCGCGGUAAUACGUAGGGGGCAAGCGUUAUCCGGAUUUACUGGGUGUAAAGGGUGCGUAGACGGCUUAGUAAGUCAGAAGUGAAAUCCCGGGGCUUAACCCCGGUGCUGCUUUUGAAACUAUUGAGCUAGAGUGCUGGAGGGGCAAGCGGAAUUCCUGGUGUAGCGGUGAAAUGCGUAGAUAUCAGGAGGAACACCGGUGGCGAAGGCGGCUUGCUGGACAGUAACUGACGUUGAGGCACGAAAGCGUGGGGAGCAAACAGGAUUAGAUACCCUGGUA
RNAcentral lists this ribosomal RNA (434 nucleotides) under uncultured Lachnospiraceae bacterium. Its description in RNAcentral is "bacterial SSU rRNA". It matches the Rfam family "Bacterial small subunit ribosomal RNA", at positions 341 to 792 of the family's 1533-position model. The record is from RNAcentral. Lineage: Bacteria; Bacillati; Bacillota; Clostridia; Lachnospirales; Lachnospiraceae.